RNAcentral lists this long non-coding RNA (230 nucleotides) under Solanum tuberosum (potato). RNAcentral's name for it is "long non-coding RNA (STUB_LNC001757)". Lineage: Eukaryota; Viridiplantae; Streptophyta; Magnoliopsida; Solanales; Solanaceae. The record is from RNAcentral.
UCUCCCAAAUCUCGCUCGCCACCCUCGCCUCUCUCGCUUAUACAAACAGAAACGAAAUGUAUAAAUUGCGCUUCUGUUUGUAUAAAGCGAGAGAAAAUUGUAUAUACACAUGCAAAUACAUAUAUCUUCGUCCUAUACACUUAUAAUUAUACAAUACAAAUAUUUCUCUGCCCAGUUUUCUUUUGCCUUUCUCUCUUUCUCGUUUUAUACAUACACAAAUUAUACAAUUG